Molecule: ribosomal RNA, 951 nt
Filed under: Escherichia coli
Lineage: Bacteria; Pseudomonadati; Pseudomonadota; Gammaproteobacteria; Enterobacterales; Enterobacteriaceae
Description: partial 23S ribosomal RNA
Rfam family: Bacterial large subunit ribosomal RNA
Source: RNAcentral
CAUCUAAGUACCCCGAGGAAAAGAAAUCAACCGAGAUUCCCCCAGUAGCGGCGAGCGAACGGGGAGGAGCCCAGAGCCUGAAUCAGUGUGUGUGUUAGUGGAAGCGUCUGGAAAGGCGCGCGAUACAGGGUGACAGCCCCGUACACAAAAAUGCACAUAUUGUGAGCUCGAUGAGUAGGGCGGGACACGUGGUAUCCUGUCUGAAUAUGGGGGGACCAUCCUCCAAGGCUAAAUACUCCUGACUGACCGAUAGUGAACCAGUACCGUGAGGGAAAGGCGAAAAGAACCCCGGCGAGGGGAGUGAAAAAGAACCUGAAACCGUGUACGUACAAGCAGUGGGAGCCUCUUAAUGGGGUGACUGCGUACCUUUUGUAUAAUGGGUCAGCGACUUAUAUUCUGUAGCAAGGUUAACCGAAUAGGGGAGCCGAAGGGAAACCGAGUCUUAACUGGGCGUUAAGUUGCAGGGUAUAGACCCGAAACCCGGUGAUCUAGCCAUGGGCAGGUUGAAGGUUGGGUAACACUAACUGGAGGACCGAACCGACUAAUGUUGAAAAAUUAGCGGAUGACUUGUGGCUGGGGGUGAAAGGCCAAUCAAACCGGGAGAUAGCUGGUUCUCCCCGAAAGCUAUUUAGGUAGCGCCUCGUGAAUUCAUCUCCGGGGGUAGAGCACUGUUUCGGCAAGGGGGUCAUCCCGACUUACCAACCCGAUGCAAACUGCGAAUACCGGAGAAUGUUAUCACGGGAGACACACGGCGGGUGCUAACGUCCGUCGUGAAGAGGGAAACAACCCAGACCGCCAGCUAAGGUCCCAAAGUCAUGGUUAAGUGGGAAACGAUGUGGGAAGGCCCAGACAGCCAGGAUGUUGGCUUAGAAGCAGCCAUCAUUUAAAGAAAGCGUAAUAGCUCACUGGUCGAGUCGGCCUGCGCGGAAGAUGUAACGGGGCUAAACCAUG